AGAAGGAGAAGGGACAUGAAGACAAAAGAAUCAACUUCAGCAUCAACAAAAUAGAUGCGGGACUGGGUAGGUACCACUGUUCAACGAAACUCUUUGACACCGACAUGGAGCCGACAUGGAGCAUGGAGUGGUGAAUGUGAGGACACACCGGCUGAGCGAAGCCAUUGUUUGUGGUUGCUGAAAUGAGCAAGAUAAAACUGUACACGAAUCUUCCUUGCACAUCUGCACAUUAUUUCCUUCGCACUCAUACU
This is a long non-coding RNA of Dermacentor albipictus, 251 nucleotides long. RefSeq lists it as uncharacterized. The record is from RefSeq and is a predicted model, not a curated record. Lineage: Eukaryota; Metazoa; Arthropoda; Arachnida; Ixodida; Ixodidae.